GUAGGGAAUAUUGCGCAAUGGGGGAAACCCUGACGCAGCGACGCCGCGUGAGUGAUGAAGGCCUUCGGGUCGUAAAGCUCUGUUGCAGGGGAAUAAAAAAAUGAAGGUACCCUGUGAGGAAGGAUCGGCUAACUUCGUGCCAGCAGCCGCGGUAAGACGAGGGAUCCUAGCGUUGCUCGGAAUCAUUGGGCGUAAAGAGGGCGUAGGUGGCUUGGUAAGUCAGGUGUGAAAGCCCAGGGCUCAACCCUGGAAGUGCAUUUGAUACUGCUGAGCUUGAGUGUCGGAGAGGUUACCGGAAUACCUGGUGUAGUGGUGAAAUACGUAGAUAUCAGGUGGAACACCGGAGGCGAAGGCGGGUAACUGGACGAACACUGACACUGAGGCCCGAAAGCGUGGGGAUCAAACAGGAUUAGAUACCAGUGUAGUCC
This 428-nucleotide ribosomal RNA is filed under the name uncultured bacterium. RNAcentral describes it as "partial 16S ribosomal RNA". It matches the Rfam family "Bacterial small subunit ribosomal RNA", at positions 354 to 796 of the family's 1533-position model. The record is from RNAcentral.